Molecule: long non-coding RNA, 214 nt
Filed under: Capsella rubella
Lineage: Eukaryota; Viridiplantae; Streptophyta; Magnoliopsida; Brassicales; Brassicaceae
Description: long non-coding RNA (CRUB_LNC004198)
Source: RNAcentral
UCACUCAACAAGUUUUGCAAAUAAUGCAUUUCAGAAAAAGGUUUCACCAAUAUAUGCUCAGUUCUAAACAGCUCAAUUGCAUUGCUACUCAAAGAAACUCUUAUAGAAGAGUUAAAUUCACAAAACUCAUCAAAUAGAAAACCUUUUGACUUAAAGAACUUUUCAAGUUUGAGAGUUUCAAAAGUUGGAAUUAUUUUGUCAAAAACAGUUUUUG